UAUAGAAAGGAAACUGCCAGAUAUAAGUGUCCAUUUUUAAUAUUCGAUGGAAGAAUAUAUAUACCAAGAAAGAAUAAAAAAUCUAUAAUUAGAGAAAAUCUAUAAUCAGAGUACAUUUAUGACUACACAACUAUGAAACCAAAUAAUAAUAAAUAGAGAAAAUCUAUACACGCCGCAACCAAGCCAAUGCCUCAAAAACAUACAACCAUGAUUAUUAACU
This 220-nucleotide long non-coding RNA is filed under the name Trifolium pratense (red clover). RNAcentral describes it as "long non-coding RNA (TPRA_LNC009857)". Lineage: Eukaryota; Viridiplantae; Streptophyta; Magnoliopsida; Fabales; Fabaceae. The record is from RNAcentral.